Molecule: ribosomal RNA, 568 nt
Filed under: Photobacterium rosenbergii
Lineage: Bacteria; Pseudomonadati; Pseudomonadota; Gammaproteobacteria; Vibrionales; Vibrionaceae
Description: bacterial SSU rRNA
Rfam family: Bacterial small subunit ribosomal RNA
Source: RNAcentral
AGGGGGACCUUCGGGCCUCUCGCGUCAGGAUUAGCCCAGGUGAGAUUAGCUAGUUGGUGAGGUAAGAGCUCACCAAGGCGACGAUCUCUAGCUGGUCUGAGAGGAUGAUCAGCCACACUGGAACUGAGACACGGUCCAGACUCCUACGGGAGGCAGCAGUGGGGAAUAUUGCACAAUGGGGGAAACCCUGAUGCAGCCAUGCCGCGUGUGUGAAGAAGGCCUUCGGGUUGUAAAGCACUUUCAGUUGUGAGGAAGGCAUAUACGUUAAUAGCGUGUGUGUUUGACGUUAGCAACAGAAGAAGCACCGGCUAACUCCGUGCCAGCAGCCGCGGUAAUACGGAGGGUGCGAGCGUUAAUCGGAAUUACUGGGCGUAAAGCGCAUGCAGGCGGCUUGUUAAGCCAGAUGUGAAAGCCCGGGGCUCAACCUCGGAAUAGCAUUUGGAACUGGCAGGCUAGAGUCUUGUAGAGGGGGGUAGAAUUUCAGGUGUAGCGGUGAAAUGCGUAGAGAUCUGAAGGAAUACCGGUGGCGAAGCGGCCCCCUGGACAAAGACUGACGCUCAGAUGCGAA